Molecule: RNA transcript, 5959 nt
Organism: Mus musculus (house mouse)
Lineage: Eukaryota; Metazoa; Chordata; Mammalia; Rodentia; Muridae
Gene: Gba1
Gene name: glucosylceramidase beta 1
Exons: 13
Source: RefSeq, marked validated
AAGCCGGAAGGAACUUGCUGUGCUAGUCGGUUCCAAGAGCUAUGAUAUCUGUCUGUGUUUUAUUUGGUAGGUCUUCUAUCCCUCCAAGGCACAGAAACUUCCACAGUCUUCUCAUUCGCUGGUCCUGAGUAGCUCCAGUUUCCAAGAUCUUCUGGAGAGGGCAUCAUGGCUCUUUGAGGGCACAGAUGGAGGGAGGGCUGAAGGUUGAAAUCGAUGGGGGAAAAGAGUGAAGAGAGUCUUCUUUGGAGUGGGCAGCAAACUCCCUAGCAGAGUGAAUGAAUGCAGGACGCCUCCAGGGUCUACGGGCACUGUCUAAUCACUAAUAAAGAAGUGUGCUGGUGUCAUGGCUGCCAGGCUCAUCGGAUUCUUCCUAUUUCAGGCGGUAUCUUGGGCAUAUGGUGCCCAACCCUGCAUCCCCAAAAGCUUUGGCUACAGCUCAGUGGUCUGUGUCUGUAAUGCAUCGUACUGUGACUCUCUUGACCCCGUGACCUUACCGGCUCUGGGUACCUUCAGCCGUUACGAGAGCACUCGACGUGGACGUCGGAUGGAGCUGAGUGUCGGGGCCAUCCAGGCCAAUCGCACUGGCACAGGGUUACUACUCACUUUGCAGCCAGAAAAGAAGUUCCAGAAAGUGAAAGGAUUUGGAGGCGCCAUGACAGACGCCACUGCGCUCAACAUCCUUGCUUUGUCCCCACCUACUCAGAAGCUGCUACUCAGAUCCUACUUCUCUACCAACGGAAUUGAAUAUAACAUCAUCCGGGUACCCAUGGCCAGUUGUGACUUCUCCAUCCGUGUCUAUACCUAUGCUGACACCCCUAACGACUUCCAGUUAUCCAACUUCAGCCUCCCAGAAGAAGACACCAAGCUCAAGAUACCCCUGAUUCACCAAGCCCUGAAGAUGUCCUCACGCCCCAUUUCACUCUUUGCCAGUCCCUGGACAUCACCCACUUGGCUCAAGACCAAUGGAAGAGUGAAUGGGAAGGGGUCGCUCAAGGGUCAGCCAGGGGAUAUCUUUCACCAGACCUGGGCCAAUUACUUUGUCAAGUUUCUGGAUGCUUAUGCUAAGUAUGGCCUAAGAUUCUGGGCAGUGACAGCGGAGAAUGAACCUACAGCAGGGCUCUUCACGGGGUACCCCUUCCAGUGCCUGGGCUUCACUCCUGAACACCAGAGAGACUUCAUUUCCCGUGACCUAGGGCCAGCCCUUGCCAACAGUUCCCAUGAUGUGAAGCUACUCAUGCUAGAUGACCAACGCUUGCUGCUACCCCGCUGGGCAGAGGUGGGAGGUGUAUGUGUGGGCCUUAUCUGACAAUUCAUCAAGAGCAGCUGAGCUCGGUGCUCUCUGAUCCAGAGGCAGCUAAGUACGUUCAUGGCAUUGCUGUUCACUGGUAUAUGGAUUUCCUGGCUCCAGCCAAAGCUACUUUAGGAGAGACACACCGCUUGUUCCCCAACACAAUGCUCUUUGCUUCGGAGGCCUGCGUGGGCUCCAAGUUCUGGGAACAGAGUGUUCGGUUGGGCUCCUGGGAUCGAGGGAUGCAGUACAGUCACAGCAUCAUUACGAACCUCCUUUACCACGUAACUGGAUGGACGGACUGGAACCUUGCCCUGAAUCCUGAAGGAGGGCCCAACUGGGUCCGCAACUUUGUCGAUAGCCCCAUUAUUGUCGACAUCCCCAAAGACGCAUUUUACAAACAGCCCAUGUUCUACCAUCUUGGCCACUUCAGCAAGUUCAUUCCCGAGGGAUCCCAGAGAGUGGCGUUGGUGGCCAGUGAGAGCACUGACUUGGAAACAGUAGCACUGUUACGCCCUGACGGCUCUGCAGUUGUGGUCGUGUUAAACCGAUCUUCGGAGGAUGUCCCUCUUACCAUCAGUGAUCCUGACCUGGGCUUCCUGGAGACCGUGUCACCUGGCUACUCCAUUCACACUUACCUGUGGCGUCGCCAGUGAUGGAACUGACACCUGAGCAGGCACCUGGGCUUAGCAUGGACAUUAAAGGGAAAGAGUUCGCUCCUGUGCUAUCUGUGACUAAAGGAGGCACGGCAGGGCCUGGGGGACCUUACAGUGACACGGGGCAGGGCCAAGGGUUCGGAUGUCUCAUUCUCCUUUCUAGUAUGUGCUGUGUAUGGGAGGGAAGCCCUAGAGUCCCUCCAGCUUCCCAGGGUUGUAAAGUGUGUGCUGUGCACUGGUUGCCUGUGGAAGCUGUGCCUACGUCCAGGGUGAGUUCACCGUCUUAAGAAGCACAAGAUGGGGAUGCCUAGGCAAGCUGGACCUGUGUGGAGGAGCAAGGCAGUCAGUCUAAGGGUGAAGCAGCUUAAAACCCGAGGGUCAGAGGGCAGACCUGACCUCUGCAUCCUCAUUGUGGCAUCUAAGAAUGGCAGCAGCCACAGAAAGAAGGGAUUCUUUGAUCCCAGUUAGUGUAAACAGGUUUAUUCUGAGGACAGCGCCCCAUUUUUGGCUGCUCCAACCAUGGGGAGACGAGGGACAGCUGGAAUGCACGAGUAGAAAAGUCAGUCCUGGGAACAGGAACGCCAUCAGUCCUCUUCAUCCUCCUCAGCCAGGCCCAAGGCCCGGGUGCCUGGGGCCCGAGCAGGGCUUGUCCGCUGGAUAGAAACGAUGCCACUGAGCAGGGCAUAGCCCACCAUGGCUGCCAGCCCUGCCAGCACAGAGAGAAUCUGGGUCCGGCGCCGGUAUGGCUCCUCCUCGGUCUCAGGGGCUGCUGGUGUCUGGCGUGGAAGUGGCACCUCAUCUAGGAGGUGAGGAAGGGAGGUGAGCAGGAAGCCAGGCCCCGGCGGACCCCAGCCCGUUCUCUUCUCUCCCACUGCUCCUCACCUCCAUCCCGGGGAAAGUAGAGGUUGAGGAUGUGGGUGCAGUAGGCGCAGAGGUUGUGCAGCCCCCGAAGGUGGGCCUGCAGCUUCCCACUGGGCAGCUUGGCCUGCAGCAGCAGGGCCAAAUGGCUAAAAACAAAGGCGUCCAGGGAGGCAGGGCUAGAGAGAGAGAGAGAGAGAGAAGGGUGGAAUGGAAGUGGACAACUGCAGAGAGGACAACAUGAAGCAAGAGGAAAAAGUCUGCUUCAGAGGGGUAGGCUCUGGGCAGCAGGGGUCAUCCAAGGAAGAGCAGGACACCUAGCUCUGCAUUUGGUAAGGGGAGUUCCCCAGGUGGCGCCAGCCUGGCCCUGAAUGGAGCUCUAUCCCAGGGCAGUAUAAUGGACACAUUGAGUGGCGCCCAGCCCAGCAGUCUCCUCCUGUGCCUGGCUCCUCUCCCAUCCCACCCUCCUGUACCACCAAGGAGGUUCUAGCCACACGCACAGCGCCCCGUCACCAGAGGCAGUGUCUGUCCUAAGAACCCCUUGUUCCCACCUCAGCCCAGGCUUUGACACCUGAACCCGUAUCUUCUUCCAACAUCCAUUUAUUCCCCCUUGGAGUCAGACUCACGCAUCCCCAAAGAAGAACUUCUGAGAGCCCAGACGCUGAGAGAGAAGGGUUAGGCACUCCCGAGCCUCUUGGUAUAGCUGGAGGAAGGGACACGAAGCAUGUGGUUGUGGGAGCUGUGACACUUCCCACUGUAGAUUCUCAUUCCUAGCCCCAAGUUACCUCUUUUUCUAGUUCCUCCUCGUUCUCUGAUUUGUGCUCGCCACACAGCAGCUGUAGCCGCUCCAUGUACUGGCGCUGCAUGCGGCCGGGCAGGAAGAAGUUGAGGGGAAAGGGCAUAGCCUCUGCAUACCACUUUCGGGUCACUUCCACAUAGUUCUUGGCGUCUAUCCAAAAAGUAUGGAUCUGGAUUGGGCAGACAGGAAGAGAAAGCCUGAGCCCGUGCACCUGCCUGUCACGGGGUGGGCUUCUAAGUCUCAUGGCUCUGUAGCUCUGCUCCCUUCUGUGCGGGCUGGGACUGCUAGGUCUGAGCGUACUCACUAGCACAGGCAGUAGUUUCUCCUCCAGCAGAGACAUGAAGGCUAGGGUAUCUGCUCCUUGGCGAGCUGACAGAUCGUAGUCGGCAUUAUACUUCUGUGGAAGAAAUGUUCAUGGGGUGAAUAUUGAAGGAUUGCAGGGACACUUAUUUUUUCAGUAGAGAAGGAACAGUAACCCCACACUAGCCUCAAGCAUAGUAGAGGUAGAAGAAGGAGUCUUUCCUGCUGAGGUCUCCUUGCCUCAGCUCAGUGAGUAGCCUGUUGCUGUUGGCAGAAAGCCUGGGCUUUGGAGCCCACUGGCUGUCAAGGUCCUGCACCCACUGCGGGGAGGGAAGAAGGCCUGGCCACAAAGUGGGAGCAGCUCCCGGACUUUCCACGGAAAGCUGGCGGGGUGCCUGCCGACAGCAGCUCUCUAACAGUAACUUCCUGAUCUAGACACCACACCACAGAGCUAGCAACGAGGCACUCGGCUGCAGGCUGGGCCUCAGAAGUCAGGGGGCACCAUCCUUACCCUUCUUGAACCCAGUCAAUUUACAUCCAGCCACCCCAACCCCAGCUUGUCCCCCACAGCAAGCUCUUGGCUAUGUCUUGCACUUCACUCCAAACCCUUGUGCACCACUACUGUACCUUCAUCGCACCGGUAUUUCCGUCUUGUCUUAGUGUGGCCCACCUUUCCAGGCUUCAGGCUGUUCCUUAGUACCCCCUCCACAGACUAAGAAAGCUUUGAACCUGCAGAGCCUCUUGAAGAUGACUCUUAAAUUUCCCUGAAUCUCAGUUUCUCCUUUAUGGAAGGAGACAGUAAUGUUUUUCUCUCGAUGUGGCUGGGUUUGGAAAUAAUUUAGGAAAAAACCCUUUGGAAACUGAAAAGGCUGUGUUUAUAUGCAAGUAACCCGGGUCCUGCCAGGAACGCUGGCUUAUAUCUGGAUCCGGUUUCUCCAGGCCGCUAAGCUUCCAUUACUUCCCCAGCUCCCUGGAAAGUAGAAAUGAGAAAGGGGAUUCUAUUUCUGACUGUGUGUUCCCUCUUGGAACAACGCUAUGAAUGCCAGGCCUCUGAGAGCAUCCUGCCUAAGCACCCUAGUUUACAAGUAAGGAACUGUAGUUGGUGAGCUGCCUUAGCAGGUAACUGUCCUUGCUGUCAGGCUCAAUGACAAGAGUUGCAUUGCAGGAGGCCACAUAGCAGAAGGAAAGGACUUAGUCUACCAAGCUGUCCAAGGACCUCCCCAAGUGUGCCACGGCAUGUGCUCACACACACACACACACCCCAAAGCAAGAGAAAUAAAUGCUUACAAAACAAAUAGUUCAUUACUUUGAGAAGUUAAAUCACCUGUCCAACGUCAUAGUCAAUGACAGAAUAACAGAGCCAAGGCCUCUACUCUCUCGUAAUUCUUAAUCAUCCAAACCUGGCACGAAGCUUUGUCCAUCCUGAGUCCUGUAUCUAGCAUAACUUAGCACUUGAGAAGAGAAAUAGUCCUUAGAAAUCUUUGUGGUUUUUUUCUCUCUCUCUCUCUCCCCCGACUUUUACUCCUUUCUUUGACAGUUCUGGCCUGGAACUCACUCUAUAGAGCAGGCUGACUUUCAACUACAGAGAUCUGCCUGCCUCUGCCUUCUAGGUGUUCAGAUUAAAGAUGUGUGCCACCACUGCCCAGUGACUUUUUUCUUUUUUGAGAGGGGUUCUUAUGUCUUCCAGGCUGGCCCCAAACACACUAUGUAGCCAAAGAUGAUUUUAAAUUUCUGAUCAUCCCACUUCUACCAAGUGCUGGGAUUAUAUGCGUGUACCACCAUGACGGUUUAUAUUAGAAAUUCCUUUCAGGUCUACCCGGAAACCAACUGCUGUUCUCUACUCUUCUUUAUUUUCCAUGUGUCAUCAGCCUGUGUAUUUCUCUUCCUCCCUGCCCAUUUGAUUUCUCCGCUUAUCCCACCCCACAGCCCCUUAAGUUCACUAUCUGGCCAACUGCUUGUCACAGUCACACUGCAUCCCCCAUGCUGCUCCUCCCUGCUCUGGAUCACACUGCUCUUGCCUGGCCUGUGUCUGGUGGCCAAUAAAUAAGUUACACUUCA